GAGGGUAUAGCUCAGUGGUAGAGAGUGUGCUUAGCAUGCACGAGGUCCUGGAUUCAAUCCCCAUUUAUCUCC
RNAcentral lists this transfer RNA (72 nucleotides) under Camelus bactrianus (Bactrian camel). It matches the Rfam family "tRNA". From Rfam's summary of the family: Transfer RNA (tRNA) molecules are approximately 80 nucleotides in length. Their secondary structure includes four short double-helical elements and three loops (D, anti-codon, and T loops). The record is from Rfam by way of RNAcentral. Lineage: Eukaryota; Metazoa; Chordata; Mammalia; Artiodactyla; Camelidae. RNAcentral also lists the same sequence under 1 other name.